UGUCUGCACGUACGUCACUUUCGCUUCUUCCCUGCUGAAAGAGGUUUACAACCCGAAGGCCGUCAUCCCUCACGCGGCGUCGCUGCAUCAGGCUUUCGCCCAUUGUGCAAUAUUCCCCACUGCUGCCUCCCGUAGGAGUCCCCCCGUGCCCCCGCCCCGCCCGCCGCGCGCGGCGGGCAGGGCGGGGGCACGGGGGGACUCCU
RNAcentral lists this ribosomal RNA (203 nucleotides) under uncultured Streptomyces sp. RNAcentral's name for it is "partial 16S ribosomal RNA". The record is from RNAcentral. Lineage: Bacteria; Bacillati; Actinomycetota; Actinomycetes; Kitasatosporales; Streptomycetaceae.